UGGGGAAUAUUGGACAAUGGGCGCAAGCCUGAUCCAGCAAUGCCGCGUGUGUGAAGAAGGCCUUCGGGUUGUAAAGCACUUUUAUCAGGAGCGAAACGCUGUCGGCUAAUACCCGGCGGAACUGACGGUACCUGAGGAAUAAGCACCGGCUAACUUCGUGCCAGCAGCCGCGGUAAUACGAAGGGUGCAAGCGUUAAUCGGAAUUACUGGGCGUAAAGCGUGCGUAGGCGGUUUCUUAAGUCUGCUGUGAAAUCCCCGGGCUCAACCUGGGAAUGGCAGUGGAUACUGGGAGGCUAGAGUGUGUCAGAGGGUGGUGGAAUUCCCGGUGUAGCGGUGAAAUGCGUAGAGAUCGGGAGGAACAUCAGUGGCGAAGGCGGCCACCUGGGACAACACUGACGCUGAGGCACGAAAGCGUGGGGAGCAAACAGGAUUAGAUACCCUGGUAGUCCACGCCCUAAAGCGAUGCGAACUGGAUGUUGGUCUCAACUCGGAGAUCAGUGUCGAAGCUAACGCGUUAAGUUCGCCGCCUGGGGAGUACGGUCGCAAGACUG
Molecule: ribosomal RNA, 551 nt
Filed under: uncultured bacterium
Lineage: Bacteria
Description: partial 16S ribosomal RNA
Rfam family: Bacterial small subunit ribosomal RNA
Source: RNAcentral